Molecule: long non-coding RNA, 723 nt
Filed under: Olea europaea (common olive)
Lineage: Eukaryota; Viridiplantae; Streptophyta; Magnoliopsida; Lamiales; Oleaceae
Description: long non-coding RNA (OEUR_LNC011510)
Source: RNAcentral
UAGAAGCAAGAUGAGGGCACAUGAAAAAUAGAGUUGAUCUUUUGUGCCUUUAGUUUCCAGAGCUCUAAAUUGGUUAAUUUUUCUUUUUCUUUCAUUGGCUAGCUAGAGGUCAGGCACACGUCUUCCUAUUAAGUUUGUAUUUAUUUUAUUCCUAAAAAAAUCUAUUUCCUUGUGAAGAUAAAUAUAUCCUUGGGAAUUUGGUUACAUAAAUGAUACAUGAGCAUCUAAGCCUCCAUAUGUAAAUUAAUGGGUGGAUUGAGGAGAUUUAAGCACCACGUGCGCCAAACGACCCUACCACUUCUUUAAACAAAAAAUUUAGCAACCUAGGUUGUGUAUGAAUGGUGAUUUCAUCCAUAAUGGAAGGAUCCUACAUUUGAAACAUUUCAUAGUAGAAUAUAUUGAUAUAAUUACCGUCGUUUUGUGGCUUGAGGAGAAUCGCACACAGAAUAACAAUUGUCUUUUGUUUGUUAUAAUAGAAAUAACAUGAAUCUCAUAUCAAAAAGAAAUUAGAAGUCUCCCCUUAUGUGCUCUCAUAAAUAAGAAACACUUUAUACUUUAAUUCCAUCGAUGGGUGUGGCAUAGUAUGGAAUAUCUUAUGGUGAGACUUGGGAUUGUUUAUAGUCUCACCUAGUAUACACACUUUUGGUUGCGGAUUUUGGUUUGAGUACUUACUCUCUUGGUAUUGUCCUGUGGCUGUAUCAUAUACUUUAUGAGGGAUUUUUG